This 475-nucleotide ribosomal RNA is filed under the name uncultured bacterium. RNAcentral's name for it is "bacterial SSU rRNA". It matches the Rfam family "Bacterial small subunit ribosomal RNA", at positions 29 to 526 of the family's 1533-position model. The record is from RNAcentral.
AACGAACGCUGGCGGCAGGCUUAACACAUGCAAGUCGAACGGAUGUGGGUUCUUUCGGGGACCUAUGUUAGUGGCAGACGGGUGCGUAACGCGUGGGAAUUUGCCUCUUGGCACGGAAUAACUUCAAGAAAUUGGAGCUAAUACCGUAUACGCCCAUAUUUAUUUAUGGGGAAAGAUUAAUUUACCGAGAGAGAAGCCCGCGUUGGAUUAGCUAGUUGGUAGGGUAAAAGCCUACCAAGGCUACGAUCCAUAGCUGGUCUGAGAGGAUGAUCAGCCACACUGGGACUGAGACACGGCCCAGACUCCUACGGGGGGCAGCAGUGGGGAAUAUUGGACAAUGGGCGCAAGCCUGAUCCAGCCAUGCCGCGUGAGUGAAGAAGGCCUUCGGGUUGUAAAGCUCUUUCAUUGGUGAAGAUAAUGACGGUAACCAAAGAAGAAGCCCCGGCUAACUUCGUGCCAGCCGCCGCGGUAAUAC